GGGCUCGUAGCUCAGCUGGAUAGAGUGCUUGACUACGAAUCAAGAGGUCGUGGGUUCGAAUCCCGCCGGGCUCACCA
RNAcentral lists this transfer RNA (77 nucleotides) under Clostridiales bacterium. RNAcentral describes it as "tRNA-Arg". It matches the Rfam family "tRNA". Rfam says of the family: Transfer RNA (tRNA) molecules are approximately 80 nucleotides in length. Their secondary structure includes four short double-helical elements and three loops (D, anti-codon, and T loops). The record is from RNAcentral. Lineage: Bacteria; Bacillati; Bacillota; Clostridia; Eubacteriales.